This 497-nucleotide ribosomal RNA is filed under the name uncultured bacterium. Its description in RNAcentral is "partial 16S ribosomal RNA". It matches the Rfam family "Bacterial small subunit ribosomal RNA", at positions 28 to 507 of the family's 1533-position model. The record is from RNAcentral.
GAUGAACGCUGGCGGCGUGCCUAAUACAUGCAAGCCGAGCGAACGGACGAGAAGCUUGCUUCUCUGAUGUUAGCGGCGGACGGGUGAGUAACACGUGGAUAACCUACCUAUAAGACUGGGAUAACUUCGGGAAACCGUAGCUAAUACCGGAUAAUAUUUUGAACCGCAUGGUUCAAAAGUGAAAGACGGUCUUGCCGUCACUUAUAGAUGGAUCCGCGCUGCAUUAGCUAGUUGGUAAGGUAACGGCUUACCAAGGCAACGAUGCAUAGCCGACCUGAGAGGGUGAUCGGCCACACUGGAACUGAGACACGGUCCAGACUCCUACGGGAGGCAGCAGUAGGGAAUCUUCCGCAAUGGGCGAAAGCCUGACGGAGCAACGCCGCGUGAGUGAUGAAGGUCUUCGGAUCGUAAAACUCUGUUAUUAGGGAAGAACAUAUGUGUAAGUAACUGUGCACAUCUUGACGGUACCUAAUCAGAAAGCCACGGCUAACUACGUG